UUGGUUAAGUUAGAAAGGGCGCACGGUGGAUGCCUUGGCACUAGGAGCCGAAGAAGGACGGGACUAACACCGAUAUGCUUUGGGGAGCUGUACGUAAGCGUUGAUCCAGAGAUUUCCGAAUGGGGGAACCCACUAUCUUUAGUCGGAUAGUAUCCUUACGUGAAUACAUAGCGUGAGGAAGGCAGACCCAGGGAACUGAAACAUCUAAGUACCUGGAGGAAGAGAAAGAAAAAUCGAUUUCCUGAGUAGCGGCGAGCGAAACGGAAAGAGCCCAAACCAAGAAGCUUGCUUCUUGGGGUUGUAGGACACUCUAUACGGAGUUACAAAAGAAAGUUAUAAAUGAAGCGGUCUGGAAAGGCCCGCCAAAGACGGUAACAGCCCGGUAGUUGAAAUGGCUUUCCCUCCAGAGUGGAUCCUGAGUACGGCGGAACACGUGAAAUUCCGUCGGAAUCCGGGAGGACCAUCUCCCAAGGCUAAAUACUCCCUAGUGACCGAUAGUGAACCAGUACCGUGAGGGAAAGGUGAAAAGCACCCCGGAAGGGGAGUGAAACAGUUCCUGAAACCGUGUGCCUACAAGUAGUUAGAGCCCGUUAAUGGGUGAUAGCGUGCCUUUUGUAGAAUGAACCGGCGAGUUACGAUUUGUUGCAAGGUUAAGCGGAAAAAGCGGAGCCGUAGCGAAAGCGAGUCUGAAUAGGGCGCAUAAGUAACAGGUCGUAGACCCGAAACCAGGUGAUCUACCCAUGUCCAGGAUGAAGGUAAGGUAAUACUUACUGGAGGUCCGAACCCACGCACGUUGAAAAGUGCGGGGAUGAGGUGUGGGUAGCGGAGAAAUUCCAAUCGAACUUGGAGAUAGCUGGUUCUCUCCGAAAUAGCUUUAGGGCUAGCCUCGAGGUAAAGAGUCAUGGAGGUAGAGCACUGUUUGGACUAGGGGCCCUUCUCGGGUUACCGAAUUCAGAUAAACUCCGAAUGCCAUGUACUUAUACUCGGGAGUCAGACUGCGAGUGAUAAGAUCCGUAGUCGAAAGGGAAACAGCCCAGACCACCAGUUAAGGUCCCCAAAUAUAUGUUAAGUGGAAAAGGAUGUGGGGUUGCUUAGACAACCAGGAUGUUGGCUUAGAAGCAGCCACCAUUGAAAGAGUGCGUAAUAGCUCACUGGUCGAGUGACCCCGCGCCGAAAAUGUACCGGGGCUAAACAUAUUACCGAAACUGUGGAUGAACCUCUUUAGAGGUUCGUGGUAGGAGAGCGUUCUAAGGGCGGUGAAGUCAGACCGGAAGGACUGGUGGAGCGCUUAGAAGUGAGAAUGCCGGUAUGAGUAGCGAAAGAAGGGUGAGAAUCCCUUCCACCGAAUAUCUAAGGUUUCCUGAGGAAGGCUCGUCCGCUCAGGGUUAGUCGGGACCUAAGCCGAGGCCGAUAGGCGUAGGCGAUGGACAACAGGUAGAGAUUCCUGUACCAGUGCUAAUUGUUUAACCGAUGGGGUGACACAGAAGGAUAGGGAAUCGCACGAAUGGAAAUGUGCGUCCAAGCAGUGAGUGUGAGAAGUAGGCAAAUCCGCUUCUCGCGAAGCAUGAGCUGUGAUGGGGAAGGAAAUUAAGUACGGAAGUUCCUGAUUUCACGCUGUCAAGAAAAGCCUCUAGGAAGAGUAGUACUGCCCGUACCGCAAACCGACACAGGUAGAUGAGGAGAGAAUCCUAAGGUGAGCGAGAGAACUCUCGUUAAGGAACUCGGCAAAAUGACCCCGUAACUUCGGGAGAAGGGGUGCUCUAUUAGGGUGCAAGCCCGAGAGAGCCGCAGUGAAUAGGCCCAGGCGACUGUUUAGCAAAAACACAGGUCUCUGCAAAACCGUAAGGUGACGUAUAGGGGCUGACGCCUGCCCGGUGCUGGAAGGUUAAGAGGAGUGCUUAGCUUCGGCGAAGGUACGAAUUGAAGCCCCAGUAAACGGCGGCCGUAACUAUAACGGUCCUAAGGUAGCGAAAUUCCUUGUCGGGUAAGUUCCG
This 1994-nucleotide ribosomal RNA is filed under the name Listeria monocytogenes. Its description in RNAcentral is "partial 23S ribosomal RNA". It matches the Rfam family "Bacterial large subunit ribosomal RNA", at positions 1 to 1985 of the family's 2925-position model. Lineage: Bacteria; Bacillati; Bacillota; Bacilli; Caryophanales; Listeriaceae. The record is from RNAcentral.